GAAGACCAGAAGGUCAGGGAGAAUUGGAGAACUCUAAAAGCAUUAUGACAGCAUCCUAUUUAAAGGAAGGCUAUAACAGUUCAAGCCCUGACCACCUCUUCCCUGGAAUACUGGACUCUACUUAUAAAGAUCUCCUAACUGGUCUUCCUGACUCCAAGGCUUUCCUGAAUCAAUGAGAAAGCAUUUUAAGCACUUCCUGAUAAAAGGUGCAGUAUAAAUCCAAACUGCUAUAUUCAUUCAACAAAGACUUAUUAAAUGUCUACUGUGUGCAGAACACUGUCCUAGGCACUGGAGAUGUGACAUCAUUCCUGCCAUGAAGGACCUAACAACCCCGUAACGACGGCUAAGAAGUUACUUUCCAAGAGAACAUGUAGCAACCAUAAAAACUAUGCCCCAAGAGCAACAGAAUAGCCCA
Vombatus ursinus (common wombat) is the source of this 415-nucleotide long non-coding RNA. RefSeq lists it as uncharacterized. NCBI's taxonomy places the organism in Eukaryota, Metazoa, Chordata, Mammalia, Diprotodontia, Vombatidae. The transcript has 3 exons. The record is from RefSeq and is a predicted model, not a curated record.